Arabidopsis thaliana (thale cress) is the source of this 274-nucleotide long non-coding RNA. RefSeq annotates it as other RNA. Lineage: Eukaryota; Viridiplantae; Streptophyta; Magnoliopsida; Brassicales; Brassicaceae. The record is from RefSeq. The transcript has a single exon.
AACAGCCCUAUUAAAGCCCAAUAUAAUUUCUAGUGAGUUAUGUACCUAUGUUAUUAGCCAUCCCGCCACGACUCCUUAGGGUUUCUCUCUCGCAGAUAAUUUUCUCCAUCUCUACCCAUCUAGGAUUCUCCAGAUUGUAAGUUCGUUUAUUUUAUCGUCAAUUUCUUCUUGAUUCCGUUUAUGAGUAGGAUAAAGCUGAUGAUGUUCUUUGCUAUAACAUGUUCUUCUGCUAUCAUAAUUUUAGUUUUUGGCUUUUCUCAUGCUUGUACGAAUA